GGUGAUGUUUGGACUUUAUUAGCCUGUUAGAGGUUUGCCAAUGGGUUGGAAACCAUCAAUGUUUUAAAGUUAGUCAACAUUUGGUUCCAUUCAAUGUUGUUGAUGUGUUUUUGACCUUAGGUUUAAAAAUAGGGGGUUUAGACGUCUCUUAUGAUGUAUCAGUAGUUGAUAUGGUAGGUGAAAUGUUUAAUUCGAAAACAACUAUUAUGAAGGAGCUCAUUAAUAUGUUUAAUAUGAUAGUGUAGAGUGAUGAGAUUGAGCUUGAUGUAGUUUGUUGUUUGUAUCUAUUAGUAUGUUUUAUUGUAUUUUAUUUUCCUAGGAAGUCUAUGUAUGUUUCUAACAUGUCUUGUAUAGUGUUAGAUGACUUAGAGAAUUUGUGUCGAUAGAUUGGACCACCGCUCUACAUAAAUAUAUUAUAGAAUUUGUGUCGAUAUGAUUGGACCACCGCUCUACAUAAAUAUAUUGUACAUAGUUUAAAUAGAUGUUCUAAGAAAAUACUGUCUAGAGAUAUCGUUGAAUCGUUAAGUACCAGUGGCAAUAUCAUUGUGUUGCAGGUAAUAUAAGUUAUAAUUGAUUAUGUUAAUGGAAUGAAUUACAUUGUAUAUUUUCUAACUAUUGCUGGUGAUAUUGUAGGGUGGGGCAUUUGAACGGCUUUCUUUGCAUGCUCGUAAGACUAAUGUUUCAUUCCCCCGCAUGAGAAGAUGGUCAUCCUUUAAUUGAAGGACCUAAAAAAUUGAAGUGUUGUUCCAGACAACAGAUGUAAGUAUCUUAACCUAUUUGGGUGUUUUAUUUUUUUUAAUGAUAUUAUUUGAGUAAAUAAGUUUUUUUUAUUGUUGUAGGUAUGUUUCGGUUGGUACCUAAGGCCGCAGGAUCGUCGAAACCCUGUCUGCCGCGAGACUUUCCAUAUGGAUGAGGGAGCGAUGCCUGAAGGAUCGAGGGCUAAAGAAACAAUAGCUGAAAACUCAGAUGACGACAGUUGGGAAGCAGC
RNAcentral lists this long non-coding RNA (988 nucleotides) under Vigna radiata. RNAcentral describes it as "long non-coding RNA (VRAD_LNC011888)". The record is from RNAcentral. Lineage: Eukaryota; Viridiplantae; Streptophyta; Magnoliopsida; Fabales; Fabaceae.